Molecule: long non-coding RNA, 377 nt
Organism: Haliotis rufescens (red abalone)
Lineage: Eukaryota; Metazoa; Mollusca; Gastropoda; Lepetellida; Haliotidae
Exons: 3
Source: RefSeq, a predicted model, not a curated record
UGGUUGUGGACGACCCGAAACCCAUGGCUGUUACACCGACCAGGAACAACUAGUAAUCACAAGGCCACGCAAGGUCCGCCAAGAACAGGCAACCAGACCGAGUAUGCCUGUGUUGGUGGGAACGUACGAACUAUCAUGUCUGGUCAUCGAGACAAACUACUUCACCUCACCAAAACAGCCAGGACAAAAUGUGGAUGGCGAUUAAGAACAGAAUUGACAGUUGACUCGAACAGCAGAAUAGAACUGAAAAUGAAUUUCCCAUCGGAAAUUAAAACAAGCUAUGACGUGUGUCAUGACAGGUAACUGGAAGUAUUUGAUGGUACGUAACAAAUGUGACAUUGCCGAUUCUUUCAUCAUACUAGUCAAAGGUUAUUAAG